This 199-nucleotide ribosomal RNA is filed under the name uncultured prokaryote. Its description in RNAcentral is "partial 16S ribosomal RNA". The stretch from base 23 to 199 matches the Rfam family "Bacterial small subunit ribosomal RNA", at positions 547 to 723 of the family's 1533-position model. The record is from RNAcentral.
CCUUCUUUCUCUCGCUUUUUUCGGAUUUACUGGGCGUAAAGCGCACGUAGGCGGCAUAGUAAGUCAGGGGUGAAAUCCCGGGGCUCAACCUCGGAACUGCCCUUGAAACUGCUAGGCUUGAAUCUUGGAGAGGCGAGUGGAAUUCCGAGUGUAGAGGUGAAAUUCGUAGAUAUUCGGAAGAACACCAGUGGCGAAGGCG